GCAACACCUUCGCUGACCUCAUACCAUCGUUGCCACCAGUGUACAAGCUGCUAGAUUCUACUGCCAAAAUCUUCAAAAUCGUCCCUUACAAUACUAACUAAACGAGUUUAGUUUUACGCCGCUUUUAGCAAUAUUCCAG
This is a long non-coding RNA of Haliotis rubra (blacklip abalone), 139 nucleotides long. RefSeq lists it as uncharacterized. NCBI's taxonomy places the organism in Eukaryota, Metazoa, Mollusca, Gastropoda, Lepetellida, Haliotidae. The record is from RefSeq and is a predicted model, not a curated record. The transcript has 3 exons.